Molecule: ribosomal RNA, 453 nt
Filed under: uncultured bacterium
Lineage: Bacteria
Description: partial 16S ribosomal RNA
Rfam family: Bacterial small subunit ribosomal RNA
Source: RNAcentral
AACGAACGCUGGCGGCAUGCCUAACACAUGCAAGUCGAACGCCUGUAGCAAUACUGGAGUGGCAGACGGGUGAGUAACACGUGGGAAUCUACCCAGUAGCUCGGAAUAACCGCGGGAAACUGCGGCUAAUACCGGAUAAGCCCCGAGGGGGAAAGGAGCAAUCCACUAUUGGAGGAGCCCGCGUCUGAUUAGCUAGUUGGUGAGGUAACGGCUCACCAAGGCGACGAUCAGUAGCUGGUUUGAGAGAACGACCAGCCACACUGGGACUGAGACACGGCCCAGACUCCUACGGGAGGCAGCAGUGGGGAAUAUUGGACAAUGGGGGAAACUCUGAUCCAGCAAUGCCGCGUGGGUGAUGAAGGCCUUCGGGUUGUAAAGCCCUUUUGUCGGGGACGAUGAUGACGGUACCCGACGAAUAAGCUCCGGCUAACUUCGUGCCAGCCGCCGCAGUAA